GAUGAACGCUGGCAGCGUGCCUAAUACAUGCAAGUCGAUCGAACAGAUGUGGAUCUUGCUCCUCUGACGUUCGCGGCGGACGGGUAAGUGACACGUAGUUAACCUACAUAUAAGACUGGGAGAACUUCGGGACACCGGAGAUCAUGCCGGGUAAUAUAUUCAACUGCCUGGUUCGAUGAUGAGAGAUGCUUUUGGUGUCCCUUAUAGAUUGUUCCCUGCCGGAUUAGGUAGUUGGUCAGGUAGCGGCUUACCAAUGCAAGGAUGCGUAGCCGACCUGAGCGGGUGAGCGGCCACACUGGAACGGAGACACGGUCCAGACGCCUACGGGAGGCAGCAGUAGGGAAUCUGCCGCAAUGGGGGAAAGCCUGACGGAGCAACGCCGCGUGAGUGAUGAAGGUCUUCGGAGCGUAAAACUCUGUUAUUAGGGAAGAACAAAUGUGUAAGUAACUAUGCACGUCUUGACGGUACCUGAACAGAAAGCCACGGCUAACUACGUG
This 497-nucleotide ribosomal RNA is filed under the name uncultured bacterium. RNAcentral describes it as "partial 16S ribosomal RNA". It matches the Rfam family "Bacterial small subunit ribosomal RNA", at positions 28 to 507 of the family's 1533-position model. The record is from RNAcentral.